Molecule: ribosomal RNA, 438 nt
Filed under: Triticum aestivum (bread wheat)
Lineage: Eukaryota; Viridiplantae; Streptophyta; Magnoliopsida; Poales; Poaceae
Description: partial small subunit ribosomal RNA
Source: RNAcentral
AUGCAGCCGACCAUCCUCGUCGCCGGUUGCAGCCUCAAAAUGCACAGCCGUGUCACUUACAACCAAAAUACCAGUACCGAUAACAGCAAAACAAACACACCAUGGAAACAAAAAAAUGAAAAUGGGGCAUCGGUUCCAGCAAAAAACUCGCACAGGGGUGGAACCAAAAACAUGAAACACCGGUUUCAGCAAAAACAUGAUAUGGUGGAAGUAAAAAUAGACACCGGUUGUAGCAAAAUCAAGACGCCGAUAGCAAAAAAAAAGGGUUGUGUCCAGCAAAAUCCGAAGACUGUAGUAGCAAAUAAUGGGGAUGGCUGUAGCAAAAACAAACUGGUUGCAGCACCACCAUCAGGCCGUGGUCACCAUCGUCGGGCCAUGGUCACCACCGCCGUGAGAUGGCCCCCCACUGGUUGCAGCAAAUCUGGUCAUGGGUGGUAG